AUUUAUAUAUUGAUAAUCAAGAGAUGAUAAAAAAAUGUCCACGCAAACGAAUAAUGCAAAGAUUUUUUUCAAGAUAAGGAGAGGAGAUACAGGUUCGAUUGAAUAUUGAUGGCUGUAAUUAAUAAUUAAUGAGCCACUAAUCCCCCCAAAUCUAUAGAUUUUUUCAAGAUAAGGUGAUACAGCAUGUGACAAUGGGGGAGAUCAUACAAAGGAUAUUUUUGGAGGCUUUUUGGCUGACAAAGCUGGUAGAGACCUAGUAAGACUCAAUCAGCCAUUUUAUCUAUUUGCUUCAGUUGAAACUUGAAACCGUUUAAAUUUUCUUAAAACAAUUUGUGUCUUCUGCAAAAUAUCCUCUUUGUCUUAAAGUGUUAUUCAAGGAUCACUUCGAGGAGACGUGCAAAGCUAUUAUGCCUAGACUUUGAGGUACAACAUUCUAUUGUGUACGAGACUUGUUAGUUUUGCUUCUUGAUUAUGUCAUUAAUUCUUUCGAGAUUUUAUAAGAGAAGCGAUGGUUUUUAAAAGCCCGACUAGAAUUUAAGCGUUUUGGUUUAGCUACACUAAACCCAUCAACCACGUGUUUCAGCCCUUACUCUCAUUAUGUCCUUCGGUUUCUCUGUUUAUAGUAAAGCACUAAAAGUCUCUAAAAUGUAGCUUUCUGAAAUCAAUUUCAAACCAAAAUUAUCACUGGUUGAAAAGAGUUUAUUAAGAUGGAAAAUAAAAUUGUAAACAAAAUAGCUCAUAAAUUUUAUUUGGUGCAAGGAAAGUAAAGAAAAGAAGAACCAAGAUCAUAUCCAAUGUAUUCUCCUAUUUCUAUCUUU
Long non-coding RNA from Brassica oleracea var. oleracea, 818 nucleotides. RefSeq lists it as uncharacterized. The record is from RefSeq and is a predicted model, not a curated record. Lineage: Eukaryota; Viridiplantae; Streptophyta; Magnoliopsida; Brassicales; Brassicaceae. The transcript has 2 exons.